AACCUGCCCUCCACUCUGGGAUAACUCCGGGAAACCGGUGCUAAUACUGGAUAUGACCUGAACAGGCAUCUGUAUCGGGUGGAAAGAUUUAUUGGUGGGGGAUGGACUCGCGGCCUAUCAGCUUGUUGGUGAGGUAAUGGCUCACCAAGGCGACGACGGGUAGCCGGCCUGAGAGGGCGAUCGGCCACACUGGGACUGAGACACGGCCCAGACUCCUACGGGAGGCAGCAGUGGGGAAUAUUGCACAAUGGGCGCAAGCCUGAUGCAGCGACGCCGCGUGAGG
This 283-nucleotide ribosomal RNA is filed under the name uncultured bacterium. RNAcentral's name for it is "partial 16S ribosomal RNA". It matches the Rfam family "Bacterial small subunit ribosomal RNA", at positions 123 to 406 of the family's 1533-position model. The record is from RNAcentral.